Molecule: long non-coding RNA, 620 nt
Filed under: Solanum tuberosum (potato)
Lineage: Eukaryota; Viridiplantae; Streptophyta; Magnoliopsida; Solanales; Solanaceae
Description: long non-coding RNA (STUB_LNC007197)
Source: RNAcentral
GGAAUUCCUUUUUUUCUAUUGGCUAAUGAUUUAGCUUCUUUAUAUUGAAUCGGCACACAAGAUAACAAAUGUCUAUUUAAGCCCCCCGUCCCACCUUGACCUCCACCUUGUUUAUGUUUAAAAGGUUGCUUACACUUAUUACAAAUAGCAAUAGAAUUUUCCUUAUCUAAAGUCAUAAAUUGCCACACAACAGAAGUUUUAGGGCGUUGAUACUUCACCUUCUCCCUUGUAGGAGGUAUAAGGGGUGGGCGUCCAGAAUUUUGCUCCGUUGAAUUUGUAGUUUCAUUUGGAGCAUUUGUCACCGGACUAGUAGGUGUAGGUGUAUCUUCUAAUUCAUCUUCUCCCGAACCAACUUCUACUUCUUCACCUGAAUUUUCAUCAAGAUAAGGAUUAAUAUCACCAUAAAUUUGUUGUAAAAGUUCAUGAUCGAGUUGAGCAUUUGAAUCAAUAUCAUAAGAAGUAUCAUCAACAUAAGUAGAAUCAUUUGUAUUAAAUCUAACUCUAGAAGUACCACCACAUUUACUCUUAUUUUUUUCCUUACUACUUUUUUUAGUAAAAUUAAAUAAUCUACUAAUGCCACUUGGUUCUUUCUCUUUUCCUUUACCGGUAUCUUUUUUGUU